RNAcentral lists this ribosomal RNA (319 nucleotides) under uncultured bacterium. Its description in RNAcentral is "bacterial SSU rRNA". It matches the Rfam family "Bacterial small subunit ribosomal RNA", at positions 28 to 334 of the family's 1533-position model. The record is from RNAcentral.
GAUGAACGCUAGCGACAGGCUUAACACAUGCAAGUCGAGGGGCAGCGGGGGUGCAGGCUUGCCUGCACCUGCCGGCGACCGGCGCACGGGUGAGUAACACGUAUGGAACCUGCCCGCCACAGGGGGAUAACCCGGGGAAACCCGGCCUAAUACCCCAUGCCGCCCGGACCGGGCAUCCGGUCCGGGCGAAAGGAGGAAUCCGGUGGCGGCUGGGCAUGCGGCGCAUUAGCUUGACGGCGGGGUAACGGCCCACCGUGGCGACGAUGCGUAGGGGUUCUGAGAGGAAGGCCCCCCACACUGGUACUGAGACACGGACCAG